CAUUAAGAAGCUAUGAACCCAAGCACUAGCCUUUUAAGCUAGAGAGAGAGGAAUAACUCCUCCUUAAUGA
RNAcentral lists this transfer RNA (70 nucleotides) under Tauraco erythrolophus (red-crested turaco). The record is from Rfam by way of RNAcentral. Lineage: Eukaryota; Metazoa; Chordata; Aves; Musophagiformes; Musophagidae.